RNAcentral lists this ribosomal RNA (506 nucleotides) under uncultured bacterium. RNAcentral's name for it is "partial 16S ribosomal RNA". It matches the Rfam family "Bacterial small subunit ribosomal RNA", at positions 29 to 523 of the family's 1533-position model. The record is from RNAcentral.
AGUGAACGCUGGCGGUAGGCCUAACACAUGCAAGUCGAACGGCAGCACAGGAGAGCUUGCUCUCUGGGUGGCGAGUGGCGGACGGGUGAGGAAUACAUCGGAAUCUACUCUGUCGUGGGGGAUAACGUAGGGAAACUUACGCUAAUACCGCAUACGACCUACGGGUGAAAGCAGGGGACCUUCGGCCCUUGCGCGAUUGAAUGAGCCGAUGUCGGAUUAGCUAGUUGGCGGGGUAAAGGCCCACCAAGGCGACGAUCCGUAGCUGGUCUGAGAGGGUGAUCAGCCACACUGGAACUGGGACACGGUCCAGACUCCUACGGGAGGCAGCAGUGGGGAAUAUUGGACACUGGGCGCAAGCCUGAUCCAGCCAUACCGGGUGGGUGAAGAAGGCCUUCGGGUUGUAAAGCCCUUUUGUUGGGAAAGAAAUCCAGCUGGCUAAUACCCGGUUGGGAUGACGGUACCCAAAGAAUAAGCACCGGCUAACUUCGUGCCAGCCGCCGCCGUAA